CCUACGGGGGGCAGCAGUGAGGAAUAUUGGUCAAUGGGCGGGAGCCUGAACCAGCCAAGUAGCGUGAAGGAUGACUGCCCUACGGGUUGUAAACUUCUUUUGUCAAGGAAUAAAGUGCGGCACGUGUGCCUUUUUGUGUGUACUUUAAGAAAAAGCAUCGGCUAACUCCGUGCCAGCAGCCGCGGUAAUACGGAGGAUGCGAGCGUUAUCCGGAUUUAUUGGGUUUAAAGGGUGCGUAGACGGGCGGUUAAGUCAGCGGUAAAAGUUCGGGGCUCAACCUCGUAGAGCCGUUGAAACUGGGUGCCUUGAGUGGACGUGAGGUAGGCGGAAUGCGUGGUGUAGCGGUGAAAUGCUUAGAUAUCACGAAGAACUCCGAUUGCGAAGGCAGCUUACCGGCGUCCAACUGACGCUGAAGCACGAAAGUGUGGGUAUCGAACAGGAUUAGAUACCCGAGUAGUC
Molecule: ribosomal RNA, 459 nt
Filed under: uncultured bacterium
Lineage: Bacteria
Description: partial 16S ribosomal RNA
Rfam family: Bacterial small subunit ribosomal RNA
Source: RNAcentral